UAGUAGUCUUGGGGGUGGUAGUAGUCCUGGGGGUGGUAGUAGUCUUGGGGGUGGUAGUAGUCUUCAGGGUGGUAGUAGUCUUCAGGGUGGUAGUUGUCUUCAGGGUGAUAGGAGUCUUUAGGGUGGUAGGAGUCUUCAGGGUGGUAGUAGUCUUCAGGGUGGUAGCAGUCUUGGGGGUGGUAGUAGUCUUUGGUGUGUUAGUAGUCUUGGGGGUGGUAGUAGUCCUGGGGGUGGUAGUAGUCUUGGGGGUGGUAGUAUAGUCUAGGGUGGUAGUAGUCUUUAGGGUGGUAGUAGUCUUGGGGUGGUAGUAGUCUUGGGUUGGUAGUAGUCUUGGGGGUGGUAGUAGUCUUGGGGGUGGUAGUAGUCUUUAGGGUGGUAGUAGUCUUGGGGUGGUAGUAGUCUUGGGGUGGUAGUAGUCUUGGGGUGGUAGUAGUCUUGGGGGUGGUAGUAGUCCUGGGGGUGGUAGUAGUCCUGGGGGUGGUAGUAGUCUUG
Molecule: long non-coding RNA, 492 nt
Filed under: Salmo salar (Atlantic salmon)
Lineage: Eukaryota; Metazoa; Chordata; Actinopteri; Salmoniformes; Salmonidae
Description: lncRNA (ENSSSAG00000089114.1)
Source: RNAcentral